This 82-nucleotide small nucleolar RNA is filed under the name Ictidomys tridecemlineatus (thirteen-lined ground squirrel). Lineage: Eukaryota; Metazoa; Chordata; Mammalia; Rodentia; Sciuridae. The record is from RNAcentral.
UUUGUACAUAAGAGGAAAGUUUUUCACUUACAUGCUAUCUUGACCAAAUGAGUGGAGUUUGAUAGUAAUCCUUACUACAUGU